AUGCAACGCGAAGAACCUUACCUGGUCUUGUACAUCCCGGAGACCCUUAGGAAACUAGGGGUGCUCCAUCUGGAAGAAUCUGGAGACAGGUGCUGCAUGGCUGUCGUCAGCUCGUGUCGUGAGAUGUUGGGUUAAGUCCCGCAACGAGCGCAACCCUUGCCUUUAGUUGCCAGCAGUUCGGCUGGGCACUCUAAAGGGACUGCCGGUGUUAAACCGGAGGAAGGUGGGGAUGACGUCAAGUCCUCAUGGCCUUUAUGACCAGGGCUACACACGUACUACAAUGGCCGAUACAAAGGGCAGCGACACUGCGAGGUGAAGCCAAUCCCGUAAAAUCGGUCUCAGUCCGGAUUGGAGUCUGCAACUCGACUCCAUGAAGUUGGAAUCGUUAGUAAUCGUGGAUCAGCAUGCCACGGUGAAUACGUUCCCGGGCCUU
This 433-nucleotide ribosomal RNA is filed under the name uncultured Desulfobulbus sp. RNAcentral's name for it is "bacterial SSU rRNA". It matches the Rfam family "Bacterial small subunit ribosomal RNA", at positions 954 to 1382 of the family's 1533-position model. The record is from RNAcentral. Lineage: Bacteria; Pseudomonadati; Thermodesulfobacteriota; Desulfobulbia; Desulfobulbales; Desulfobulbaceae.